GGAGAGAUGGCUCAGUGGUUAAGAGCACUGACUCCUCUUCCAGAGGUCCUGAGUUCGAUUCCCAGUGACCACA
RNAcentral lists this transfer RNA (73 nucleotides) under Mus musculus (house mouse). RNAcentral's name for it is "tRNA-Arg". The record is from RNAcentral. Lineage: Eukaryota; Metazoa; Chordata; Mammalia; Rodentia; Muridae.